RNAcentral lists this long non-coding RNA (3176 nucleotides) under Equus caballus (horse). Its description in RNAcentral is "lncRNA (ENSECAG00000048738.1)". The record is from RNAcentral. Lineage: Eukaryota; Metazoa; Chordata; Mammalia; Perissodactyla; Equidae.
GCCGUUUUCUGUGUUUUCCAUUACAAAUAAUGCUAUAAGGAAUAGCCCUGUAUGUAAAUCUGUACACCUACGUGUGAGAACAUUUGUAAGAAAACGCGGAAUUGUUGCAUUAAAUUUUAAUGAAUGUUGUCAAAUUUCCUCAAAUGGCAUUUAUUUGCAUGUGUGUGUGUUCCAAUAACAUUUUAUUUAUGGAAAUUUGAAUUUCAUUUAAUUUUCACACGUCACAAAACAUUCUUUUGAUUUUUCUCCAUCAGUUAAAAUGUAAUAAUCACUCUUAGUUCAGGGGCUGUAUAAAUCAGGUGGUAAACCAGAUUUGGUCUACCAGCCAUAGUUUGCCAAGCUCUGGUUUAGUCUAACUAGUCUAGUUUAAGUUGUAAAAAAAGGGGCUAAGGUUCACCAAUGUUCCCAACUGAAAAGUUUUAUUAAAACACAUGUUUUAGACAUUUUCGAAAUGUUUUGAAAAAACAUUAAGUAAACUUAGUCCACUAAUGCAAGUCACCGAAAAUUUUUUCCUUACUGAUUAGUUUAAAAAACUUUUAUUACAAAAGUCAUCAAUGCAGAUUCUACUCUGACUUUGUAUUAAGUUCAGCCAAAUUUUGUUAUGUGAGAUCAUCCUUUAGGUUAUUUCAGCUUGUGAACCGCCAUACACUACAGCUUUCUGCCUCCACUAAACACUGUGAUGGAGGUGGGAAUGGAGGCCUUGGAGGGAAAGCAGAAGGCAUGGAUUUGGCUUCUGGUCUAUCUGAUUUUGCUUCAAGAUUCAGAGAUGUAUAGGUUUAUCACGCUCUCGCUAAACUGAAUGACUUCAACCCUUGGUGUCCCGUUUCCUUGUUUUUUCAUGUUCCUUGAAGUCUUGCCUUGCUGUCUUCACCCCUGAAGAAGCAGUCACCUCCUCCAUCAAGCGACUGGCUUCAGGAGAGAAACACACACCUUGGGUCACCCUGUGAGGGACUGAGGCGUUCUCAGACCGUUUCUGUGGCCACGUGUGCUCCACACUUCUUGUUCCUUCUUGGGAGGGAAUUCUUAAGGUUGUCUGCCUUCUCUGGAUGCUGCAGAGCCAGGCCGGUGCGGGCAGCCUCCCUUUUGCUUUCUCCAGGUCCCAUUGAAUGCUGAAGUUUGCAUACUUUCUCUCAAUCCCGCUCACUAGCCAUCUGCGAAGACUCACCAACCUUGGGUGGGGGUCGGGUGCGCACCCACAGCACCGGCCAGGGGGUGGGGGUGUGGGGAGUGAGAUGUGUGCAGCACUGGGGUGUCCGUGGGCCGUCUGGGGAGAUCCGCAGGCAAGCUGUCCCCAGCAGCUUGUGGGUGGGCUUCCUGAUGGAGUCCGCAAAGUGGCUGGUAGAAUUGUCCUUUUGAAGCCCUCCGAGUGCCCGGGCUGCCUUCUCCCAGGCCCCUCCACCCCCCCACCGGUCGUGCAGCACACCCGGCGUUCUGGAUGCGGGGAGAGAGAGAAGUGGGCAGGCUGCCCUACAGUUGGGGAAGCCAGACGCUCACGCCCACGCUCUCACCUCCCCCUUGGGGAGAAAUCGCUGGCGAAAGGGGCUCUGUUGGCUCUGGGCUGUGCGCUGGGGGAGGAGUCACAGGAAAAGUGACACUGGUCCUCUUCAUUGCGUCCAAUCUCAGGUUUUGUUUUGCUCCCACAGUGUGCUGGAAGUUCGCGGGUCUCUGGGAUUCCCACAAAGGUGCUCUUAUCCGCGGAUGAUGGUCAACAUCAGUGUUCGUUGGGUGUGCCCACAACACCAGGCUGCCUUUAUGGAGAAAAAGCGUGGAUUCUUCUGCGCCUUGGUACAACUUGACAGACGUAGCAGUCUGUCUCUGAGGAACUUAAAUGAGACACGGACAAUGUAAAUGAGGUCCCAGGGCAGAGAUUACCAGUGGCGGGUCUCGCUCUGUAUCAAAAAGACAACCCCCACCGCUUUCAUGGUGAAGCAAACUUGAGCAAGCUUAGACUGCCCCCAGAUCCCAGAUUCCAGACAGGGAGUCGCUCCCCGCCCCAUGCUACUGAGAACAGUUUUCCUCAUUGUGCACUGAUCGUUGUAAGCAGAUCCUGGCACGAGGAGGUCAAUGGCCCUAUCAGAAUGCGCUCCUCAGCCAUUCCUGUGCCGACUCAGAAAAUCUCCUCUCUCGAACGGCAGCCCAACCGAUGAAUAAUUGCCCUCUCCAAGAUCCAAGAGCCAAAAUCAAAUUUCCCCGCACAUCUUGGUCUCUGGCCGCAAAUGUGGUCUGUCUCAGUCUUUCUCCUUGAGAGGAAAAGAUGAGGAAAAUUCCCAUCUUGUUCCAACUCGUCCCCUCUGAUGACUCCAAGGUCGGAAGCGUUUUCCAUUCUGCAUAGAGUAGAUUGAAUCUGUUGACUGAGUUUUCAAAGCGAGCAGGAUUUUUUUUUGACCCAGACCUCUAUCACUCAUUAUUGAACUUUAGACUACUUGAGCACUUUCAGUGCCACCUGCAAAAUAUUUUUUAAAAUGUGUCACAACACGCAUUCUUGGAAAAUGGAAUUUGCUCUUCUUAAGAGUUACUUGCCUGCAUUAUUUUCAACAGUGACUGAUUUUCUCAACCCCUAGUUAAAUUUAAACCAUUCUGUGUUCAUUUUCUCACCUUCAUACCUUUUUAAAGCCAUUUCUCCCACUACUUGGGGGAGAUCCCCCCCACAAUCCCAUCUGAUCUUCAAGUGGUCCCCAACUCUUGCAGCCUGGUGUCGAUAACCUGAUAGUACAUAGUACCUGUACCCCUCAUUUUGGUUCCUAGCUAGACUCUGCCUGGCAUUUCAUAUAGCUAUUUCAUGAGGGUCUAUCUUAUCUGAAAUUACGUUAUAAAUUCCUUGAGAACAAAAAUGUUCAUUUUCCAUCUUCUUUCAUGUGUGUGUCCCUGCUUACCCCUCCCUGCCUCCCAUUGAUCACCACAUACCCUCAUAUGUGGAAAAUCGUACAUUUCUUUUUAAACUUGAAAUUAAAGAUGGUCCCUGACUUACCAUGGUUCAAGUUAAUUUUUCGACGUUAUGAUGGUGGAAAAGUGAUAUGCAUUCUGUAGGAACCCCACUUUGAAUUUUGAUGUUUCCGUGGGCUAGCAAUAUGUGGUAUGGUCCUCCCCUGUGAUGCUGGGCAGUGAGGAUAGCUCCCAGUCAGUCAUGCAGUCACGAGGUGAACAACCCAACACACUGACAGCCAUUCUGUACCCAG